This 181-nucleotide non-coding RNA is filed under the name Ferrimonas sediminicola. RNAcentral's name for it is "6S / SsrS RNA". It matches the Rfam family "6S / SsrS RNA". From Rfam's summary of the family: E. coli 6S RNA was the first non coding RNA to be sequenced, but its function was unknown until recently. It consists of 184 nucleotides that fold into an extended hairpin structure with a large single-stranded internal bulge. Lineage: Bacteria; Pseudomonadati; Pseudomonadota; Gammaproteobacteria; Alteromonadales; Ferrimonadaceae. The record is from Rfam by way of RNAcentral.
AGCUCCCUGUGAUGUUUGCCAGCGGGUUAUGUCCCUGGCCGAUGCUAUCACCAAAGGGUACACUCCCCAGCGCUACUGUGCAUGCUCGGCAGGUACCGAGAAGCCUACGGCGAAGGCAGUGCACCCGCCCUGAACCUACGGUUCACGGGCUUACACCUGCAGCGACAUCUGCGGGGAGCAC